GAUGAAGAACGCAGCGAAAUGCGAUAAGUAAUGUGAAUUGCAGAUUUCAGUGAAUCAUCGAGUCUUUGAACGCACAUUGCGCCCCCUGGUAUUCCGGGGGGCAUGCCUGUCCGAGCGUCAUUGCUGCCCUCAAGCACGGCUUGUGUGUUGGGCCCCGUCCUCCGAUCCCGGGGGACGGGCCCGAAAGGCAGCGGCGGCACCGCGUCCGGUCCUCGAGCGUAUGGGGCUUUGUCACCCGCUCUGUAGGCCCGGCCGGCGCUUGCCGAUCAACCCAAAUUUUUAUCCAGGUUGACCUCGGAUCAGGUAGGGAUACCCGCUGAACUUAAGCAUAUCAAUAAGCGGAGGA
RNAcentral lists this unclassified non-coding RNA (346 nucleotides) under soil metagenome. RNAcentral describes it as "partial contains 5.8S ribosomal RNA, internal transcribed spacer 2, and large subunit ribosomal RNA". The stretch from base 1 to 120 matches the Rfam family "5.8S ribosomal RNA", at positions 35 to 154 of the family's 154-position model. The record is from RNAcentral.